Molecule: ribosomal RNA, 32 nt
Filed under: Platanus x hispanica
Lineage: Eukaryota; Viridiplantae; Streptophyta; Magnoliopsida; Proteales; Platanaceae
Source: RNAcentral
GGGUGCGAUCAUACCAGGAAUAAUGCACCGGA